CUUUUAAAGGAAACAAGUACUCCGCUGGUCUUAGGAACCA
Molecule: transfer RNA, 40 nt
Filed under: Proctoporus bolivianus
Lineage: Eukaryota; Metazoa; Chordata; Lepidosauria; Squamata; Gymnophthalmidae
Description: partial tRNA-Leu
Source: RNAcentral